Molecule: long non-coding RNA, 342 nt
Organism: Helianthus annuus (common sunflower)
Lineage: Eukaryota; Viridiplantae; Streptophyta; Magnoliopsida; Asterales; Asteraceae
Exons: 3
Source: RefSeq, a predicted model, not a curated record
UCGACAUUUUCACAGAGCAGGAGAGGGUUUCUCCUUUCAAACCCUAAACUCAUCAAAAUUGCUCAAAAUCAAAAGGGAAAUCAAGCUAAGAAUUGGGGAUUUAACUAAAUUCGUGAUCACCUAAGCUAGGAGAUCACAAGUUUGACGCUUAAUGAGCUAGGUGGGAGCUCGGGAAGGAAGCGGAUCAAACAAGUUAAACAUGAAGAAAAGCAUAACCGGAUGCAAGGAAAUAACAUAUGUUGCGUUGCUUUAACUAGAAAAUGUAAAGCAAGAGGUAUGUAAAUGGGUCAAUGCUAUGACCCGAGCCAGGUACACAUAAUUAGAUUUAUAGUUGAAAGUAGU